GAAAUGCGAUAAGUAAUGUGAAUUGCAGAAUUCAGUGAAUCAUCGAAUCUUUGAACGCACAUUGCGCCCGCCAGUAUUCUGGCGGGCAUGCCUGUUCGAGCGUCAUUACAACCCUCAGGCCCCCGGGCCUGGCGUUGGGGAUCGGCGGAAGCCCCCUGCGGGCACAACGCCGUCCCCCAAAUACAGUGGCGGUCCCGCCGCAGCUUCCAUUGCGUAGUAGCUAACACCUCGCAACUGGAGAGCGGCGCGGCCACGCCGUAAAACACCCAACUUCUGAAUGUUGACCUCGAAUCAGGUAGGAAUACUCGCUGAACUUAAGC
Molecule: unclassified non-coding RNA, 320 nt
Filed under: plant metagenome
Description: partial contains 5.8S ribosomal RNA, internal transcribed spacer 2, and large subunit ribosomal RNA
Rfam family: 5.8S ribosomal RNA (bases 1-105)
Source: RNAcentral